CUGGAAAUGCCAUUAUUUGAAGCACACAGUCAAAUUUAACAUUUCACUAAUAGAGCUAAACUUUAUUUCCAUGUUUAUUACAUGUUCAUCUUUGAAGUUGAAUACAUGGUAGAAUUGAUUUAACAUACAACUUGGGAGAAAAGCUGAUAUUCUCCACUGAAUGGGUUAAAAAGGAAUGUAAAGCUAUAAAAUACUUGCUUAAGUGUUUAAGUGAAUUCUAAUUAUGGCAAACAUAACAAUAAAUACCUUGCUAUUUUUCUCUUUCUAGUUUUCUGAGAUGGAUUUCACUAUAAAAUGUUUUCCAUAACAAUUUAUUUCAAGAAAGGAAAUAAGGGAUAAUCCUUAAAACCAUUUUACUUUAAGUGUAGAGUACAAAUAAAGAGUCAACACAGAACUCCUAUCUCCUAUUUAAAAUACAAAUACUUCAUGAUAAUUAGGAAUCGAGGGAGAUUAAUCUGAUGUCAACUGCAGAUCUAAUGACUUAAGCAAACCCAUACAUGCCAUUUGCUUUUGUCUGGAGGAGUUAGGCUGACUUAAGGUGACACACGGCAGAGUUCUACUUGAUACCUAUGUUAACCAUUCCCUAUGAGAAUGGAAUGGCCAGAUACUAGGUGCUUAGCGAUGGGAACUCAGGACUAAUCAGCUCCAAGUGACUAAGAGCUAAGAGAAGUCAUCACUCCACCUCCUCAAUCUACAGCCAGAUACAAAUUUUAGCAUUCACUGAGUUUUAAAAUAAAACACCAGAUAUUCUGAAACUGCUGAAAUUCACAGUACAGAAAGAAUAUUGUCUGUAGUAUAAUUCCAAUGUUUAAACAAAAUCAAAAUUAUAGCUGGUUAUCAAAGUUGUCACUGGUAAUAAAUAUAGUUUUAAUUCUCUAUAAGCCCUGUAAGCACAUUUGGUGAAGGUGUGUUCUUAAUGCCACUAAUCUAUGCUUAGACACAUUUAAAAAAAAAAAUCAUCUUAAAAUUAUUUUUCACCAGGGAUUACAUGACGAAAACUCUUAAUAAAAGUGAAUAUUGCUUACUGUUCUCAUUAAACAAGUGUUUAGAAUGAUUUGCAAAAACCUAUUAUUUUUAAUGAUGCUUAUAAAAGAUGUUAAAGAUAACUCACCUCUAAUUAAUUAUUCUACUGAUAAAAUACUUUUUCAUGUAACUGUUUAGGACAGAUAAAUUAUGGCUUUUCACUUUUUAAAAUUUCACAUUUACUAUCAUGUUGUUAAAGCUUUUCUAAAUCAGUCUUCCAGUAUCAGAUUCUUAAAUGAGAAAAGAAAGGACGAAAGAGACAAAUUCCGCAUCAACUUAGCCUCCUCCCUUCCCUGGAAAUCAACAUUUCUCUUAAAAUUCAAGGCACGCUCCUUUUCUUAGAACAGAGGUCGACAAACUUGUUCUGUAAAGGGACCACAGAAUAAACAUUUCAGGCUCUGUGGACCACAGGGUCACUACCACAAUUACUCAAUUUCUGCUGUUGUCAUGAAAAAGCAGCCACAGAAAAUAUGUAUUUACAAAAAAAAAAACAACAGUCUGAAUUUGGCCUGUGGGCCAUAGCUGACCAACCCCUGCUUAGGAGAACUGACCUAAAUAUAAAAGAAUCAUCUUAAAAAAAACCAAACUGAUCUACUCAAGUGCGCUGACUGACUCCGACUCCAGCAGCUCAUCACUCUAGAACAUCUGAACAUUAAAACCCUUUGGAGCUAGCCAACUUUCUGUUUUUGGUUAAGAUUCUUCUAUUCAACUUCAAGUCAUUAUGCUUUCCCACUGGGGAUAAUCGAUUCUUCGUUUAAGAACUUGCUUGGGUGUUAUUUAUUGAGGGAUUCAGUUCAAAAUUAAUAAAUGAUGUCCAUACGAUUUAAUAUCCAAUUUAAUUUUUAAAAAACUUAAUGAAAAAUAUAACAGAAUCAAAACAUUUAAAAUAAGUACACUACCUAUUCCAGUAAUUCAUUUAAGUCAUAUAACUAUAGAAUAUGAAAAAUAAAUUCAGAGGUGUGAUUACUUUAAAAUACACUGCUUCCACUUUUGUCAAUAUUUUACAUUUAUGUAUAUAUUCUACAGUGGAAGCAGAAAUUCUCUCUAAAAACAUUAUCUCCUUAAAAUCUUGAGGUGCAGCUUAGAGCCACAGGCAAUAUCUGACAUAUAAAACUGCAGUACAAGCCUUUCCAAUUUGGCAUUUCACGGGCACAAUGCAAUGACGCACGUGUAUAAGCACUGUGCCGUGCCUGGACAUUCCAGUGAGAACCAUGAUUUUCUUUAAUGUAGAAUGAUUAAUACAUAUUCUACAAGGGGCAGUGAGGUUAGUAAUUGUAUAAGGUAUGUCCGACAUAAUUUUCAGAUUGUACAAUAACACAAACAACUUUGUUAAGGCCAUGUUUUAUUUGCUGAUUAAUGGACAAAAGGCAAUGUAAUUUAUUUUCAAGUAUUUUCUUGAAAGUCUGUGCUCAUAAAAAUCAUGAAAAGUUGGAAAGACUGUUAAAUCACUGAAACUUUAAAUAUAUCUUACACAAUCUUGUUUGUACAAAAAUACAAGUUAAAUAUAAACAUAAAGCAAUCAUGAUAAUUUUAUGCAAAUCUGUUUUAUGUGAUCUUCAGUUAUAUAUAAAAGUUUCUCGGUUCUGUUAUUUGUGAAAAGAUCAAUACCAGAUUGAAUUACUAUCUAUUGGCAAAGGGCCCUAAAAAGCUUCCUUUAGCAUUAAUCCUUUAGACGGUUAAGUGCAUUUCCUAAUUUGAGAUCACCUAAACACUGGAAAAAAAGAAAAAAGUGAAAGGG
Molecule: long non-coding RNA, 2761 nt
Organism: Equus quagga
Lineage: Eukaryota; Metazoa; Chordata; Mammalia; Perissodactyla; Equidae
Exons: 2
Source: RefSeq, a predicted model, not a curated record